This is a long non-coding RNA of Strigops habroptila (Kakapo), 253 nucleotides long. RefSeq lists it as uncharacterized. The record is from RefSeq and is a predicted model, not a curated record. NCBI's taxonomy places the organism in Eukaryota, Metazoa, Chordata, Aves, Psittaciformes, Psittacidae. The transcript is spliced from 2 exons.
AACCGGGCGGGGAGCCCGGCCAGUGGGAGGCCCGGCCGCCCCACUGUGAUUAGACUCGGCCGCUUUCACACCCCCGCCCCAGCAAACACCCGUACAGCCGCGCUUCUUUCGCCUUCCGCCCCGUUACAACCUGGGUAAAACCAAAUACUUCACAUCAUUCUCAUUAUCCAGUACUCCAAGCAGAAUUUAGUCAGAUCCUAUUGUGUGUGCAGGCACACACUCACCAACCUCAAAUUAAAGAUCUGAAACAUGG